GACGAACGCUGGCGGCGUGCUUAACACAUGCAAGUCGAACGGAAAGGCCCUGCUUUUGUGGGGUGCUCGAGUGGCGAACGGGUGUGUAACACGUGAGUACCAUGCCCUUGACAUUGGGGUAUCUUCAGGAAACAGGGGCUAAUAUCGGAUAUGCGCUCCUGCUGCGCGGUGGGGGUUGGUGAGUUUCGGCGGUUGGGGGUGGACUCGCGGCUUCUCAGCUUGUUGGUGGGGUGGUGGCUUACCAAGGCGUUGACGGGUAGCCGGCCUGAGAGGGUGACCGGCCACAUUGGGACUGAGACACGGCCCAGACUCCUACGGGAGGCAGCAGUGGGGAAUAUUGCACAAUGGGCGGAAGCCUGAUGCAGCAACGCCGCGUGCGGGAUGACGGCCUUCGGGUUGUAAACCGCUUUCGGCUGGGACGAAGCGUGAGUGACGGUAAUGGGUGAAGAAGCACCGGCUAACUACGUG
RNAcentral lists this ribosomal RNA (468 nucleotides) under uncultured bacterium. Its description in RNAcentral is "partial 16S ribosomal RNA". It matches the Rfam family "Bacterial small subunit ribosomal RNA", at positions 28 to 507 of the family's 1533-position model. The record is from RNAcentral.